GAGUUUGAUCAUGGCUCAGGAUGAACGCUGGCGGCGUGCUUAACACAUGCAAGUCGAACGAGGAAUUUUAAAUGAGACUUCGGUGGAUUUUAAAAUUCUUAGUGGCGGACGGGUGAGUAACGCGUGGGCAACCUGCCCUGUACAGGGGGACAACAGCUGGAAACGGCUGCUAAUACCACAUAAGACCACGGAGCCGCAUGGCUCAGUGGGAAAAACUCCGGUGGUACAGGAUGGGCCCGCGUUGGAUUAGGUAGUUGGUGAGGUAACGGCCCACCAAGCCGACGAUCCAUAGCCGACCUGAGAGGGUGACCGGCCACGUUGGGACUGAGACACGGCCCAAAACUCCUACGGGAGGCAGCAGUGGGGAAUCUUCCGCAAUGGGCGAAAGCCUGACGGAGCAACGCCGCGUGAGUGAAGAAUUAUUUCGGUAUGUAAAGCUCUAUCAGCAGGG
RNAcentral lists this ribosomal RNA (451 nucleotides) under uncultured microorganism. RNAcentral describes it as "bacterial SSU rRNA". It matches the Rfam family "Bacterial small subunit ribosomal RNA", at positions 9 to 444 of the family's 1533-position model. The record is from RNAcentral.